Molecule: ribosomal RNA, 873 nt
Filed under: Triticum aestivum (bread wheat)
Lineage: Eukaryota; Viridiplantae; Streptophyta; Magnoliopsida; Poales; Poaceae
Description: partial small subunit ribosomal RNA
Source: RNAcentral
AUGGAUCCCUUCAAUGAUCCACUUUCCAUCGCCCAUCAACUGGAUUUCUCUUUUGGCCACCGUUUCAGAUGCAAGGUUCGUGAUCUUUUCAAAUCUUCGGUUCAUCCGGUUUCACCAGAUCUGGAUUUUCAAUUGGUGAUCUCUUUCACCCGAUCAUCUUUUCGUUUGAAUGACCUCCCACCAGGCACGACCAUCGUUCCACAGGGCCCCCUCCGUGAGUAGCAUGGAUAUGUGGUCAUCGGCGGCGAGCUCCCUAUGGUUUGUGAUGAAUGGGCCAUUGCCACUCUCGAGCCAGGUAUCGCUCCAGAGGAAUUUCAUGGAGCCAAUGCCAUGAUCAUCAACUUUCUGGAGAACAGAGGUUGGAGGAUCAGCUACUCUUCCAGAUGCGGUAUGGGAUCUGUCUUAAUCCAGUUUACCACAGCAUGCUCCCGUGAUACUGCAGUUAGCCAUAGUCCGUUUUAGCUCGGAGACACAGUGCUUAGAAUCACUAGGCAGGAUCGUGGAAUUAACUACAGAAGCAUUACUUUCACUCAUGAUAUCUGGAUGCUGUUGAUGAACUACAGGUUAGAGUGCUGGGAUGUCCAUGUUAUUAGUAGAACUUUUGCACCUUAUGGCCAUUUUCUUAUUUGGAACAAGGAUCCAAGGGACAAAACCAGGAUUAUUGUGAAAGUAAGAGUCAUGAAUGCUGAAACGCUCCCACUCAAUAUUGUUAUUCUUCGCAACCUGGAUGACAUGGGCUAUGGAGACUCAUGGACAUGCCCUGCCUAUAUACUAUCCAGAGAGCUUAUUGGGCAGCAGGGAGGAGAUGAGGAUCGACUCCCCCCUAAUGGAGGAAAUCCUCAUCCCCUUCCCAAUGUGCAUGCAGGGUUUUGG